RNAcentral lists this ribosomal RNA (497 nucleotides) under uncultured bacterium. RNAcentral's name for it is "partial 16S ribosomal RNA". It matches the Rfam family "Bacterial small subunit ribosomal RNA", at positions 28 to 507 of the family's 1533-position model. The record is from RNAcentral.
GAUGAACGCUGGCGGCGUGCCUAAUACAUGCAAGUCGAGCGAACAGACGAGGAGCUUGCUCCUUUGACGUUAGCGGCGGACGGGUGAGUAACACGUGGAUAACCUACCUAUAAGACUGGGAUAACUUCGGGAAACCGGAGCUAAUACCGGAUAACAUGUUGAACCGCAUGGUUCAAUAGUGAAAGACGGUCUUGCUGUCACUUAUAGAUGGAUACGGGCCGCAUGAGCUAGUUGGUAAGGUAACGGCUUACCACGGCAAGGAUGCGUAGCCGACCUGAGAGGGGGAUCGGCCACACUGGAACGGAGACACGGUCCAGACUCCUAAGGGAGGCAGCAGUAGGGAAUCUGCCGCAAUGGGCGAAAGCCUGACGGAGCAACGCCGCGUGAGUGAAGAAGGUCUUCGGAGCGUAAAACUCUGUUAUGAGGGAAGAACAAAUGUGUAAGUAACUAUGCACGUCUUGACGGUACCUAGUCAGAAAGCAACGGCUAACUACGUG